This 226-nucleotide unclassified non-coding RNA is filed under the name Ascomycota sp. Its description in RNAcentral is "partial contains small subunit ribosomal RNA, internal transcribed spacer 1, and 5.8S ribosomal RNA". The stretch from base 1 to 47 matches the Rfam family "Eukaryotic small subunit ribosomal RNA", at positions 1785 to 1831 of the family's 1831-position model. The record is from RNAcentral. Lineage: Eukaryota; Fungi; Ascomycota.
AAAGUCGUAACAAGGUCUCCGUUGGUGAACCAGCGGAGGGAUCAUUAUAGAGUCUUCUGAACUCCAAACCUUUGUGAACUAUAUCAUGUUGCUUCGGCGGGUUGCCGGGCGGCCAAGCGCCCCCAGCGUCGCCCGCCGAAGGCCCAAACUCUUGACUUCCAGCGGAAUCUUCUGAGUGAUUACAAAUAAGCAAUCAAAACUUUCAGCAACGGAUCUCUUGGCUCUG